UGCUGCUUUGUUUCGUUCCCAGGCCCGCUGUGAUGGACGGCUGCAGCUGCCCGCCUCGCUCCGCCGUGGGCCUCUGUGAAGGCAAAAAGACAUUGGGCCUGCUGGAGACCUGAUGAGAUGGCUGUAGCCAGCAGUGGAUCAGCUGUGUGAUGAAGGCAGUCGUCCUGGCUUGCACUGCCAUGCAUGAACCUGUAACAGGCCUCUGUGAAGGCAGAGGGACGUUGGGCCUGCUGGAGACCUGAUGAGAUGGCUGUAGCCAGCAGUGGAUCAGUUGUGUGACAACUGCAGUUGCCCUUGGCUUUCUCUGCUCUGCGUUUCCACUUUUGAUAGAGGAGCAAAGGUUGAGUAGAUCACUCAGAAGGCCUGAGGAUUUGCUGUUAUUUCACAGUACUAGGCGAAAGCUGUCUUCUGCUAGUGAUGUUUCUCUCCAUGCUGCUGCCUGUGAUCCUUGUCCACACUACAGCAUCCAUAUCACUGAAACAACUCUUUUUCCCUUGGUCUUGCCAAAUAACAGAUGGCAGGUGUUGUGGUUUUUUUUCCUUCAUAUGAUGUAUUUAAUCACAAUGGAUUCUGGAAUUUGCUGCAUGUUUUACGUAAUUGGAUGAUUUUUGUCCGCAAAGGCUGUGUUCACCACAUGACAACUAAUGUUGCUUGACAUUAAAGGAAGCCUGAAAAAGCUGUUGUCAUAUAUGAUGGUCUUGUAUGCAAGGAGAAUUUUGUUUAAUAAAAUCUGUGUACUGUAUGAACUCA
RNAcentral lists this long non-coding RNA (750 nucleotides) under Chrysolophus pictus (golden pheasant). RNAcentral describes it as "lncRNA (ENSCPIG00010005943.1)". The record is from RNAcentral. Lineage: Eukaryota; Metazoa; Chordata; Aves; Galliformes; Phasianidae.